RNAcentral lists this transfer RNA (68 nucleotides) under Marmota monax (woodchuck). RNAcentral describes it as "tRNA.Gly". The record is from RNAcentral. Lineage: Eukaryota; Metazoa; Chordata; Mammalia; Rodentia; Sciuridae.
GGUUUGUGGCUCUGUGGUAGAGCACUUGCCUACCAUGUGUGAGGUACUGGGUUCGAUUCUUAGCACCA